UCUAUGGUCAAAAUGUGUCACAAU
Molecule: non-coding RNA, 24 nt
Filed under: Arabidopsis thaliana (thale cress)
Lineage: Eukaryota; Viridiplantae; Streptophyta; Magnoliopsida; Brassicales; Brassicaceae
Source: RNAcentral